RNAcentral lists this ribosomal RNA (497 nucleotides) under uncultured bacterium. RNAcentral's name for it is "partial 16S ribosomal RNA". It matches the Rfam family "Bacterial small subunit ribosomal RNA", at positions 28 to 507 of the family's 1533-position model. The record is from RNAcentral.
GAUGAACGCUGGCGGCGUGCCUAAUACAUGCGAGUCGAGCGAACGGACGAGAAGCUUGCUUCUCUGAUGUUAGCGGCGGACGGGUGAGUAACACGUGGAUAACCUACCUAUAAGACUGGGAUAACUUCGGGAAACCGGAGCUAAUACCGGAAAAUAUUUUAAACUUCAUGGUUCAAAAGUGAAAGACGGUAUUGCUGUCACUUAUAGAUGGAUCCGCGCUGCAUUAGCUAGUUGGUAAGGUAACGGCUUACCAAGGCAACGAUGCAUAGCCGACCUGAGAGGGGGACGGGCCACAUGGGAACUGAGACCCGGCCCGGACCCCUCGGGGAGGCAGCAGUAGGGAAUCUUCCGCAAUGGGCGAAAGCCUGCCGGAGCAACGCCGCGUGAGUGAUGAAGGUCUUCGGAUCGUAAACCCCUGUUAUUAGGGAAGAACAUAUGGGGAGGUAACUGUGCACACAGUGACGGUACCUAAUCAGAAAGCCACGGCUAACUACGUG